Molecule: ribosomal RNA, 253 nt
Filed under: uncultured bacterium
Lineage: Bacteria
Description: partial 16S ribosomal RNA
Rfam family: Bacterial small subunit ribosomal RNA
Source: RNAcentral
UACGUAGGGUGCGAGCGUUAAUCGGAAUUACUGGGCGUAAAGCGUGCGCAGGCGGCUUUGCAAGACAGAUGUGAGAUCCCCGGGCUCAACCUGGGAACUGCAUUUGUGACUGCAUGGCUAGAGUACGGUAGAGGGGGAUGGAAUUCCGCGUGUAGCAGUGAAAUGCGUAGAUAUGCGGAGGAACACCGAUGGCGAAGGCAAUCCCCUGGACCUGUACUGACGCUCAUGCACGAAAGCGUGGGGAGCAAACAGG